UGGGGGAUAGUGAGGGGAUAAAUUUUCUUAAGGAACUCGGCCAAAUCCCAAUGGCCCACCAGGGCAUAUUGGAACACGGGCCUCGACUGUUUACCAAAAACAUAGCCCUCGGCUAAUAUGAAAAUAGAUGUAUAGAGGGUGAUGCCUGCCCAAUGGUUGUAUCUAAAAGCGGUUGAUAAAAGUCGACCUCGUAAGGACAAUUGAAUGGCCGCGGUAACACUGACCGUGAUAAUGUAGCGUAAUCAAUAGCCAAUUAAUUGUUGGCCAGUAUGAAUGGCGCCACGAAGGCCCCACUGUCUUAAGGAAAUUCCCAGUGAAAUUGAAUUCGUAGUGAAGAUGCUACGUGCAAUUUGUUAGACGAAAAGACCCCGUUGAGCUUUACUGGAGCACUUACAUGGCCCUGGCCUUCCCAUGCUUGGGAACCGGCCGAAUUUCCCUAUCAAAUGAUAGGCUACUAGAAAAUGGGCGGCUUAGAUUAUGUGGCAGCCCCCCGCUGGGGCAAAUGAAACCCCACUCCCCCAUGUCAAAGGGGCUAACCCCCCCCCUUGGGGGGACAGUGUAAGUAGGACAGUUUGGUUGGGGCGACCGCCUUUUAAAGAGUAACGAAGGUGCGCUUAAGGUGCGCAAUAAAUGACUGAAGCCUGACUGCGAGGGGGACACCCCGAGCAGACACCCCAAAGCCCGCCCGAAGGGCGGCGGUGGGGUGGGCCAUAGUGACCCGUUAAUUUAGAGUGGAAUAG
This 740-nucleotide ribosomal RNA is filed under the name Neozoanthus cf. uchina JDR-2014. Its description in RNAcentral is "partial 16S ribosomal RNA". It matches the Rfam family "Bacterial large subunit ribosomal RNA", at positions 1677 to 2441 of the family's 2925-position model. The record is from RNAcentral. Lineage: Eukaryota; Metazoa; Cnidaria; Anthozoa; Zoantharia; Neozoanthidae.